GUUAGCUUAGCUCAAUUGGUAGAGCCCUCUGGACCGGUAAUCCAGAGGAUGUGGGUUCGAGUCCUACAGCUGGCUAACA
Non-coding RNA from Ornithodoros turicata, 79 nucleotides. Lineage: Eukaryota; Metazoa; Arthropoda; Arachnida; Ixodida; Argasidae. The record is from the annotation of a RefSeq genome assembly.